AGGACGAACGCUGGCGGCGUGCCUAACACAUGCAAGUCGAACGAGGUCCAACCGGUAGCAAUACCGGUGAAGAUCAAGUGGCGAACGGGUGAGUAGCACGUGAGCAACCUGCCCCGAAGACCGGGACAACACCGGGAAACCGGUGCUAAUACCGGAUAUCCCCACCGAGUCGCAUGGCUCAGUGAGGAAAUGGAUUCCGCUUCGGGAGGGGCUCGCGGCCUAUCAGCUAGUUGGUGAGGUAACGGCUCACCAAGGCUUCGACGGGUAGCUGGUCUGAGAGGACGAUCAGCCACACUGGGACUGAGACACGGCCCAGACUCCUACGGGAGGCAGCAGUGGGGAAUCUUGCACAAUGGGCGAAAGCCUGAUGCAGCAACGCCGCGUGAGGGACGAAGGCUUUCUGAGUUGUAAACCUCUUUCAGCAGGGACGAUUGUGACGGUACCUGCAGAAGAACGCCCGGCAACUACGUGCCAGCAGCCGCGGUAAU
Molecule: ribosomal RNA, 488 nt
Filed under: uncultured bacterium
Lineage: Bacteria
Description: SSU rRNA
Rfam family: Bacterial small subunit ribosomal RNA
Source: RNAcentral